Molecule: non-coding RNA, 24 nt
Filed under: Cricetulus griseus (Chinese hamster)
Lineage: Eukaryota; Metazoa; Chordata; Mammalia; Rodentia; Cricetidae
Source: RNAcentral
AUUGAUGUCGAACUAGCAAGCUUG